Molecule: ribosomal RNA, 1737 nt
Filed under: Salmonella enterica subsp. enterica serovar Muenster
Lineage: Bacteria; Pseudomonadati; Pseudomonadota; Gammaproteobacteria; Enterobacterales; Enterobacteriaceae
Description: bacterial LSU rRNA
Rfam family: Bacterial large subunit ribosomal RNA
Source: RNAcentral
GUUGGGUAGGGGAGCGUUCUGUAAGCCUGUGAAGGUGGCCUGUGAGGGUUGCUGGAGGUAUCAGAAGUGCGAAUGCUGACAUAAGUAACGAUAAAGCGGGUGAAAAGCCCGCUCGCCGGAAGACCAAGGGUUCCUGUCCAACGUUAAUCGGGGCAGGGUGAGUCGACCCCUAAGGCGAGGCCGAAAGGCGUAGUCGAUGGGAAACGGGUUAAUAUUCCCGUACUUGGUGUUACUGCGAAGGGGGGACGGAGAAGGCUAUGUUGGCCGGGCGACGGUUGUCCCGGUUUAAGCGUGUAGGUGUGUGUUCCAGGUAAAUCCGGUUCACUUUAACACUGAGGCGUGAUGACGAGGCACUACGGUGCUGAAGCAACAAAUGCCCUGCUUCCAGGAAAAGCCUCUAAGCAUCAGGUAACAUCAAAUCGUACCCCAAACCGACACAGGUGGUCAGGUAGAGAAUACCAAGGCGCUUGAGAGAACUCGGGUGAAGGAACUAGGCAAAAUGGUGCCGUAACUUCGGGAGAAGGCACGCUGACACGUAGGUGAAGUGAUUUACUCAUGGAGCUGAAGUCAGUCGAAGAUACCAGCUGGCUGCAACUGUUUAUUAAAAACACAGCACUGUGCAAACACGAAAGUGGACGUAUACGGUGUGACGCCUGCCCGGUGCCGGAAGGUUAAUUGAUGGGGUCAGCGCAAGCGAAGCUCCUGAUCGAAGCCCCGGUAAACGGCGGCCGUAACUAUAACGGUCCUAAGGUAGCGAAAUUCCUUGUCGGGUAAGUUCCGACCUGCACGAAUGGCGUAAUGAUGGCCAGGCUGUCUCCACCCGAGACUCAGUGAAAUUGAACUCGCUGUGAAGAUGCAGUGUACCCGCGGCAAGACGGAAAGACCCCGUGAACCUUUACUAUAGCUUGACACUGAACAUUGAGCCUUGAUGUGUAGGAUAGGUGGGAGGCUUUGAAGUGUGGACGCCAGUCUGCAUGGAGCCGGCCUUGAAAUACCACCCUUUAAUGUUUGAUGUUCUAACGUGGACCCGUGAUCCGGGUUGCGGACAGUGUCUGGUGGGUAGUUUGACUGGGGCGGUCUCCUCCUAAAGAGUAACGGAGGAGCACGAAGGUUGGCUAAUCCUGGUCGGACAUCAGGAGGUUAGUGCAAUGGCAUAAGCCAGCUUGACUGCGAGCGUGACGGCGCGAGCAGGUGCGAAAGCAGGUCAUAGUGAUCCGGUGGUUCUGAAUGGAAGGGCCAUCGCUCAACGGAUAAAAGGUACUCCGGGGAUAACAGGCUGAUACCGCCCAAGAGUUCAUAUCGACGGCGGUGUUUGGCACCUCGAUGUCGGCUCAUCACAUCCUGGGGCUGAAGUAGGUCCCAAGGGUAUGGCUGUUCGCCAUUUAAAGUGGUACGCGAGCUGGGUUUAGAACGUCGUGAGACAGUUCGGUCCCUAUCUGCCGUGGGCGCUGGAGAACUGAGGGGGGCUGCUCCUAGUACGAGAGGACCGGAGUGGACGCAUCACUGGUGUUCGGGUUGUCAUGCCAAUGGCACUGCCCGGUAGCUAAAUGCGGAAGAGAUAAGUGCUGAAAGCAUCUAAGCACGAAACUUGCCCCGAGAUGAGUUCUCCCUGAGACUUAGAGUCUCCUGAAGGAACGUUGAAGACGACGACGUUGAUAGGCCGGGUGUGUAAGCGCAGCGAUGCGUUGAGCUAACCGGUACUAAUGAACCGUGAGGCUUAACCUUACAACGCCGAAG